RNAcentral lists this small nuclear RNA (119 nucleotides) under Marchantia polymorpha subsp. ruderalis. RNAcentral describes it as "U4 spliceosomal RNA". It matches the Rfam family "U4 spliceosomal RNA". From Rfam's summary of the family: U4 small nuclear RNA (U4 snRNA) is a component of the major U2-dependent spliceosome. The structure of U4 snRNA from yeast and human has been reported. Lineage: Eukaryota; Viridiplantae; Streptophyta; Marchantiopsida; Marchantiales; Marchantiaceae. The record is from Rfam by way of RNAcentral.
AUAUUUGCGCUUGGGGCAAUGACGCAAUUAGUGAGGUCAAACCGAGACGUGUCAAUUGCUGGUUCAAAACUAUUUCCAUUUCAUGUUGAUUAUCAGCUGAAUGCUUUGUCACUAAUGAU